Molecule: ribosomal RNA, 480 nt
Filed under: uncultured bacterium
Lineage: Bacteria
Description: partial 16S ribosomal RNA
Rfam family: Bacterial small subunit ribosomal RNA
Source: RNAcentral
AUGAACGCUGGCGGCGUGCUUAACACAUGCAAGUCGAACGAAGCACUUUAUUUGAUUUCCUUCGGGACUGAUUAUUUUGUGACUGAGUGGCGGACGGGUGAGUAACGCGUGGGUAACCUGCCUUGUACAGGGGGAUAACAGUUGGAAACGGCUGCUAAUACCGCAUAAGCGCACAGCAUCGCAUGAUGCAGUGUGAAAAACUCCGGUGGUAUAAGAUGGGCCCGCGUUGGAUUAGCUAGUUGGUGAGGUAACGGCCCACCAAGGCGACGAUCCAUAGCCGACCUGAGAGGGUGACCGGCCACAUUGGGACUGAGACACGGCCCAAACUCCUACGGGAGGCAGCAGUGGGGAAUAUUGCACAAUGGGCGAAAGCCUGAUGCAGCGACGCCGCGUGAGCGAAGAAGUAUUUCGGUAUGUAAAGCUCUAUCAGCAGGGAAGAUAAUGACGGUACCUGACUAAGAAGCACCGGCUAAAUACGUG